This 463-nucleotide ribosomal RNA is filed under the name uncultured Actinomycetes bacterium. RNAcentral's name for it is "bacterial SSU rRNA". It matches the Rfam family "Bacterial small subunit ribosomal RNA", at positions 28 to 504 of the family's 1533-position model. Lineage: Bacteria; Bacillati; Actinomycetota; Actinomycetes. The record is from RNAcentral.
GACGAACGCUGGCGGCGUGCUUAACACAUGCAAGUCGAACGCUGAAGCCGUCUUCGGACGGUGGAUGAGUGGCGAACGGGUGAGUAACACGUGGGUAAUCUGCCCUGUACUCUGGGAUAAGCCUGGGAAACUGGGUCUAAUACCGGAUAGGACACGCUACCGCAUGGUGGUGUGUGGAAAGCUUCGGCGGUACAGGAUGAGCCCGCGGCCUAUCAGCUAGUUGGUGGGGUGAUGGCCUACCAAGGCGACGACGGGUAGCCGGCCUGAGAGGGUGACCGGCCACACUGGGACUGAGACACGGCCCAGACUCCUACGGGAGGCAGCAGUGGGGAAUAUUGCACAAUGGGCGGAAGCCUGAUGCAGCGACGCCGCGUGGGGGAUGACGGCCUUCGGGUUGUAAACCCCUUUCGCCCGGGACGAAGCGAGAGUGACGGUACCGGGAGAAGAAGCACCGGCCAACUAC